This 3706-nucleotide long non-coding RNA is filed under the name Lynx pardinus (Iberian lynx). The record is from RNAcentral. Lineage: Eukaryota; Metazoa; Chordata; Mammalia; Carnivora; Felidae.
CGUCAGCAGACAGCGUUCCCACUAGAAUCUGACCAUCGUUGUCUGGGCUUCCAGGAUAACCUGGGUGAGCCGCGCUCUCUGGCAUUUCUGGGGCCUGGCUCUUCUCCCUGCUCCGCCAGUGGUUCCCGGGGAAUCAGUCAGAUCCCGGGCUGCGGCCUGGGCAUGAUGAGAUCACGUCCAAGUUUCCCACAGCCCAGCAAUUCGCUCUGACUUGCCCCCCGCGUUAUUGCAACAUCUCGACCCUUCCGAGCUUCAGACCUGCCAGGAAACGGGGUAGGGUUUUGUUUGUUUGUUUGUUUGUUUUGGGGUUUUGUUUGUUGUUUUCUGUUUUCUGUGUUUUGGGGUUUUUUUUUAAGUAUUUAUUCCAGGAUGGCUCCAUUGGUGGGGUGCGAGAGUGACUCAGAGUGCCUUGCGAGCCACCUCCAAAGGGAACUAUGUCCCACAGGCCGGCGCGUCCUCUGCGCCAACUCCCCACCCUGGUAAAAACAAAAACAAAAGCUCACGAGGGCUGCAAACACCCACUUGAAGAACACGUGCUUAUGGAGUGGUGUUCUCCAAGGGCACGCAAGCUGCCGCCGGGAAGGCCGCCGAGGGCAGAAAGGAAAGCGAGUUCUGCGCUGUUGCGUGGGGCAGAGAAGGAGCGUGUGCUCGACGUCUCGAGAGGCUCCUUCUCAGCCUGGCAGCGAUUUCUUGAUCUUAGAGCGUAAGGUCCUAGGAAGCUUAGAGAUGGUGAUUUGGUUUGGGUCCCCACAUAAUCGUGGGCAUCAUAUACCAGAACAGUUUUGCCUAGCAAGAUCGGGGGCGGGGGGGGAGGGCGCACCGGGAGACGGUUUGGGAACCGGAUAGAUACAAAGGCAGAUUCAAUAAAGACGCUUCCUCUUUCUCGACGUUGACAAAGCAGGGGAUGUGUCACACGGCACCUUCGCAUCUCCUAACGGCGGGUCCCACGGCUGCUGACGCAGACGGAAGAGAAACUCGGAGGAGAUGCCGUCCCAGAUGUAAAGGGGUGAACUCUCUCUUCCUCUGACCUCGACAGAAGUCCGAGGAGGAAGACUCAACUCUCUCUUAUCUAAAGGGUGAGUCCAGCUGCCACGGGAGAUUUCGAAACCUCUCUCCCCACGCAGGGGUGGACAUCCCCACGGGGUCCAGAGAGCCCGCCCGAGUGCAGUUCAGGUCGCUUCUCUUACACGCUCUCCUCAAGCGCACAACCCGUCCCAGACCCGAGAUGCUCCCGUCACCUACCCAAUACCCCCCCCCCCCCCCCCACCUUCUGGGGCUUGCCUUCAACUUGUUUCAUCCCUCGCUGUCACAGUUGUCACCUUAUCACCUGCACGACUUUUCCCUUGAAUCUCCUUCUGGCCGGUUUGGAAGAUGGGGCCCUAAACGAAGUUCACGCCUUCCCUCUCUCCGGCCCGUGGUCUGUGCUCCUCGGCUGCAGCCACGCUAGCUGAACGCACCAGGCGCACAUCCGCCUCAGGGCCUUGGCGCGUGCUGUUCCCCCCACCACGAGCGCUCUGUGUCACCCACGUGGCUCCCUCACUCCCUUCCUCGGGGUCUUUACCCACACGCCCACUCAUCAGUGACCUGUCCCCCACCACUCUCUUCCGAGCUCCCGCCCACGCGUGGUUUCCCACGAGCUUAUCUCCCCCUUGUCUCCUUCCUUAUCUGCCUCGCCCACUGGAAUGCCAGCUUCACGCGGGCAGGGACUUCUGACUCUCUCUGUCCUCUGUCACAGCCCGGUGCCCACGGCGGCGCUCAGCGUAUCCACGCCGCGAGAGUUACUGGGCGUUCGCGGCUCGCCUGCGAUUGAGGAAUUCUACGUUCCUCAAGCUGAAGGCCGCUUCGUGCCUCCUGGGCCCUCGGAGAGAUCGGAGGAGUUGGGCCAAGGCCUCCCUCCCUCCCUCCUCCUCCUCACCGCCCUUUUGAGGCUGUACAUUCUGCUUCCCCGACAGACGCAGGAAAGUGGGGUCGUUCUAGAGGGAGACGGAGCCUUCCCCGAUUUAGGAACACAGGUGUUGGCCCCGUCGGGGCCAAAGGCUCCCGCGUCUCUAGGAGCUCCUGGGAGGAAAUUCAUCUGAAAUGUGCUCACCCUCCCUGGUGGGGAACGGGGCUGUGGGCGAGGCAGCCCAUGCGGGCAGGCGGCCCUUACACAGGCUUUCCAGAAAGAGCUGGAAAGCAGAUACCCGAGCCACAGGAAAAAGAAUGACCUCUUGCAGCCAAGAGCCUGACUGGAAAGUCCGCGUAAAGGACACCUGGAGGAAGUGGGGGGCUCCAUCACCUCCUCCGCCCGCCCAUAACCCUUUCUUCCUCACUCGGCCGCCCCGCACAUCCGCCUUCCCGGAGGCUCACCCCAUCUUUGCCGUUCGAGAGCUCACUGGGUUCUCCCAACACAUCAGAGCUUUUUUUUUUCUUUUCCCUUUUUCUUUUCUUUCUUUUUUUUUUUUUUUUUUUCAUCUUGUUUGAAAAGCCUUUUGUGAGGUUGGGAGUGACCCAAAAGUCGCCUCUCUAUUCCUGUCUGAGGAGAGAGUAUUUCCAGAUCGGAGGCGCGGUCUGCAGGGCCCGGGCCAGGCGUCCAUGAAUACCGGAUUAUGCCUCCUACCCCAGUCUCCUAAGCGUGUGCCAGCCACAGUUCCAGAAUGAACCAUAAGCGGAGAAAAAAAAAAUUUGUGAAUCAAGAGGUUUAUUAUUUUCUCCCAGUAAGGAUUUUGAAACCCAGAUUUCCACAUUUUUAAGGGUUUGAUGUCAUAAAAUUCCCAUGUAUGAUUACAUUUUAAAAAACAGAGUCAUUGUGUGUGUGUGUGUUGGAACGUAAGAGGUUUAGCAUACAACUCAGAAAAUGAAUUCCUAAACCCAGAGUUUGAAAGGCACAGACACAACGGGCCAUCGAGCUGGGCAUCUGCUACAACGAAUCCAUGGGAUGUUAAGUCUGUUGUCCUGGAACCAUCUGGAAAUUAAAUGUUAGUCUUCUGAAAAGAACCGGGACCUCCAAAUGUUGUUGUUACUCUGAGUGCAGUGUAAGCAGGUUUCUAUUUAAAACUUUCACACCGGCUACUUGAAUAUUUCUUGUUCUCCGAAGGGUACCCUCUAUACCUCUUGGAUUCUUUUCCACCUUCCCUUUUCCAUGUUAAUUUGGUUUAAUCCCACCUGCUGGCACGAAGGGAAAGAUAUUUAUGAACAUCAUCUAUAGGGGCGCCUGGGUGGCUCAAUCAGUUAAGCAUCCGACUUUGGCUCAGGUCAUGAUCUCACGGUCCGUGAGUUCAAGCCCCGUGUUGGGCUCUGUGCUGACGGCUCAGAUCCUGGAGCCUGCUUUGGAUUCUGCCUCCCCCUCUCUCUGCCCCUCCCCUGCUUGCGCUCUGUCUCUCAAAAGUAAGUAGAUAUUUUAAAAUUCUGUAUAUAAAAAAAGUCUUCUGUAAAAGGAGCUGGGGAGUUGUGUGGUUUUUCACCUUUGCUGCUGCAACCAGACUUAGGUGGAGACCAGACAGUCCUCCAGCAGUGAGGGGUGGAGAGGGCCUGGGAGAUGGGGAGGAAAGAGUGUGUCCCUGCCUUUAUGUUAAAGAGAAGGCAAGACAUUGCCCAACACAGUUACACCUUAGCAGACUACUCUAGCAAGGCCCUUGGAUGCCCCCUUGGGUCCCAGGGUGCCUAAUCUAAAUAAACUCCAGAUCUGUCAACACUGGCUUGGGCCCGGGAAACCAGACCAGCCCUC